AUUGAACGCUGGCGGCAUGCUUUACACAUGCAAGUCGAACGGCAGCGACGGGUGCUUGCACCUGGUGGCGAGUGGCGGACGGGUGAGUAAUACAUCGGAACGUGUCCUGAAGUGGGGGAUAACGCAUCGAAAGAUGUGCUAAUACCGCAUAUUCUCUGAGGAGGAAAGUAGGGGAUCGAAAGACCUUAUGCUUUUGGAGCGGCCGAUGUCUGAUUAGCUAGUUGGUAAGGUAAUGGCUUACCAAGGCGACGAUCAGUAGUUGGUCUGAGAGGACGACCAGCCACACUGGGACUGAGACACGGCCCAGACUCCUACGGGAGGCAGCAGUGGGGAAUUUUGGACAAUGGGCGCAAGCCUGAUCCAGCAAUGCCGCGUGAGUGAAGAAG
This 386-nucleotide ribosomal RNA is filed under the name uncultured bacterium. RNAcentral's name for it is "bacterial SSU rRNA". It matches the Rfam family "Bacterial small subunit ribosomal RNA", at positions 30 to 413 of the family's 1533-position model. The record is from RNAcentral.